RNAcentral lists this long non-coding RNA (1869 nucleotides) under Pelobates cultripes (western spadefoot toad). Lineage: Eukaryota; Metazoa; Chordata; Amphibia; Anura; Pelobatidae. The record is from RNAcentral.
CACUGAGAGGGGUAACUUGACACUGUGCCAGAGGAGGGGGUCACUCAGUAAGGGGUAACUUGAUACUGUGCCAGAGGAGGGGCUCACUGAGUGAGGGAUAACUUGUCACUGUGCCAGAGGAGGGGGUCACUCAGUGAUGGCUAACUUUUCACUGUGCCAGAGGAGGGGGUCACUGAGUGAGGGGUAACUUGACACUGUGCUGUAGGAUGGGGUCACUGAGUAAGGGGUAACUUCACACGGCGCCACGGGAAAGGGAAUGACUGUAAUGGAGUGAUGGGUAACUGUGUACUUUGUCACUGUGCCUGGGGCUUGCGGUUCAUUGCUACAGAGUGAGGUGUGCCCUGGGGGUUACUGCAACCAAGUGAGGUCUACCUUGUCUCUGUGCGGGGGCUUCAGAAUCACUGUGCCAGAAGAGAGGGUCACUGUAACCGAGUGAGGAUUAACUUGUCACAGUGGCGGGGGUGUCACUGUAACAGAGCGAGGAGUAACCUGUCACUGUACCAGGAGAGAGUGGUCACUGCAAUGGAGUGAGGGUAUCUUGUCACUGUGCCAGAGGGGUGCUCACUUUAUUGUAGUGAGGUGUAGCUUAUCACUGUGCUCAUGGGAUUUGGGAUCACUGUGACUGAGUGAGGGGUACCUUUUUACUGUGCCAGGGGAAGGGGGUCACUGUAUCGGAUUGAGGUGCACUUUGUUACUGUGCCAUUGGACUUGGUGUCACUGUAACCGAGUGAGGAGUACCUUGUCACUGUGCCUAGCCACCUCACCAUGGCCAUCCCACCAUCUCCCCAGCAGCAGAGCCAGGGACAGAAUGCAGGCGGUAUCUUAUCCUAGUGGCAGUUUGAGAGCAAGGUAGUGGAGUUAGCUGAUCUCUCUCCCCAGCAACAGAUGGCAUACCAUAGAGAUGGGUAAGUUGACAACCCUCCCAAGCAGCAGAGCAUGUGUCCAGAACAGGGUGCACACAGCACCCCUCAACAGCGGCAGUGUGAGCUCCCGGAACAGGAGGUAGUCUGACUUCCUCCCCACCAGCAGGCAUGUAUCAAAGAGAGGGUGCUUCUCAGCAGCAGAGUAAGAUUCAGAGAGAUGAGGUAGUCGGCCAGAUCCACAAUCAUCUGACAUGGGAACUUUGACCACCCCAUUAUCUCCCUAGCAACUCUAGUAACCCCAGACAGAAGGAGUAGUCGACUCUUCUCUCCAGCAGCAGGUGUCCCCUGAGUUUGGGGUUAGCUGGGAAAGUGCCCUACUGCUAGCUGUGGUUUUGGUUCAACUGUAUUUUAACACUAGAUGUAUGAAGUAGGAACUGUUGACUAAUUAGUAAGUAAGCUCGUUCUUAGUCUCCUUUUAAAAGGGGGAUAAAUAUGAUGGAUACCACUUUGCACUGGGGUUUUGGGCAACCUGGAUCGCCUUUUUGGAAGGCUGGGUCAAGAGGAACCACUGGGUCAGACACCAUCAUCCAACUUUUUCCAUGGAUCUGGUAGUUUUGGGCCCACCAGCAUAAGUAUCUGUUUGGUGGUAGGUUUGGGGUGUGUGGGCAAGGUGAAGACAGAGUUUCUCAUUUAUUUACCUCCUUUUAUGUCUGUAAUCCUGUGUCUGAUUUGAAGAAGUCUGAUUGUCUUAUUAUGUGGACCUCUAUUCACUGGGAAUCUGUUAUAGGGUAAAUACAUGUUUGGAGAUGGAGGGCAUUGUAUCUUGUGCAGUGUUUGUUUUAGUUAUUGUAUGGUACUUUUGGAAGAUGUUGUUUCCUUUCUUAGGUGAAUAGCACAUUGUAUGUACAUAAUGUAUUCUAUGACUCACUAUUGUUUGCCAAGUAUGUUUUCUGGUAUUACUACAUGUGUGUUUCCACAAUAAAGUCAGUCUUACUUUCACCCUUAA